Molecule: unclassified non-coding RNA, 543 nt
Filed under: Hevea brasiliensis (rubber tree)
Lineage: Eukaryota; Viridiplantae; Streptophyta; Magnoliopsida; Malpighiales; Euphorbiaceae
Source: RNAcentral
UUUCAUCUGCAGGAGCUGUAUUACCUGAUAUAGAUGACAAAAAAUGAUACAAGCAGACAUUUCAGUUAAAAAAAAAAAAAAUUAAUUAAGUGGCUGAGCUAGAUACCACAUAAAGAUAUACAUAGGAAAAGUGUAAAUAACAAUCAAGAUUUGAUGAAACCAUCAAACAUGUUAUAACCAGAAACUAUAGUAACAAAGAAUCAGCUUAUCCUGCAAAAUUAGCCGGCAGUUUAAGCAUCAGGAUAGGGAUUAUCAAUGAGGUAACAUGGUAUCAGAGUUAAAAAUUUCUGUUUUUGAUCCAAUGUACUAGCAGACACAGUCACAGAUGCAAAAACCAACGAUAGGCUUUAUGUGCCAGUAACAGAAAUUAGGAAACACUGGCAGAACGUUGAUUCACAGAUAUGGAAGGAUGUCUAUUUCAUAUAAUUUCAGUAAAAAGUUUCUGCAAGAGUUGGGGAGAGAGAGAGAGAAUCCCCAGACUAAUUUUUACUCAAAAAAUAAAUAAAAAGAAGAAGCAAGUAAAGCAAGAAAUCACGAGAGGAG